This 468-nucleotide ribosomal RNA is filed under the name uncultured bacterium. Its description in RNAcentral is "partial 16S ribosomal RNA". It matches the Rfam family "Bacterial small subunit ribosomal RNA", at positions 28 to 507 of the family's 1533-position model. The record is from RNAcentral.
GACGAACGCUGGCGGCGUGCUUAACACAUGCAAGUCGAACGGAAAGGCCCUGCUUUUGUGGGGUGCUCGAGUGGCGAACGGGUGAGUAACACGUGAGUAACCUGCCCUUGACUUUGGGAUAACUUCAGGAAACUGGGGCUAAUACCGGAUAGGAGCUCCUGCUGCAUGGUGGGGGUUGGAAAGUUUCGGCGGUUGGGGAUGGACUCGCGGCUUAUCAGCUUGUUGGUGGGGUAGUGGCUUACCAAGGCUUUGACGGGUAGCCGGCCUGAGAGGGUGGCCGGCCACAUUAGGCCUACGGUAGAGCCCAGAAUCCAACCGGAGGCAGCAGUGGGGAAUAUUGCACAGUGGCCGGAAGCCUGAUGCAGCAGCGCCGCGUGCGGGAUGACGGCCUUCGGGUUGUAAACCGCUUUCGCCUGUGACGAAGCGUGAGUGACGGUAAUGGGUAAAGAAGCACCGGCUAACUACGUG